This 315-nucleotide small RNA is filed under the name Oryza sativa Japonica Group (Japanese rice). RNAcentral describes it as "sRNA Os11g0536000". The record is from RNAcentral. Lineage: Eukaryota; Viridiplantae; Streptophyta; Magnoliopsida; Poales; Poaceae.
AAGAUCCUCCAAAGGUCGAGGCCUCCCCUUCCUCGGCAGGCUCGGCAGCCGCCGCCGGCGAGAGGCCGCCGCCGCCACCACCACCACCACCCUCGUCUGCGGCAAUGGCGGCGCGGUGGCGUGCUCCGGCUAGGCUAAAAUCAAUUAAUUAGUCUCCGGGAGGGUAAUUAACGGGGGUGAUUAAGAUUAAGCUCGAUCCGAGUUCAGUUUAGGCGAUGAUGAUUCAGCUGCAGCUUCGACUGCAGCUGUGUCCGCAUUUGUAAUUACAGAAAAGUUUUGGUGCUAAUUUGUACAUGGUUUUUCGUUGCAUUCUGA